ACGUAGAAGGUAAGAAAAAAUCACAAAAAGCACCCUGUAUUAUUGCAUCAAUUUAUAUUGUUACUGGUAAGGAAUCGUUUCUGGAAAGUAAACGUAUACUUAUAUGG
Molecule: long non-coding RNA, 107 nt
Organism: Aricia agestis (brown argus)
Lineage: Eukaryota; Metazoa; Arthropoda; Insecta; Lepidoptera; Lycaenidae
Exons: 3
Source: RefSeq, a predicted model, not a curated record